Molecule: long non-coding RNA, 781 nt
Organism: Culex pipiens pallens (northern house mosquito)
Lineage: Eukaryota; Metazoa; Arthropoda; Insecta; Diptera; Culicidae
Exons: 3
Source: RefSeq, a predicted model, not a curated record
UAAACGUGUAGACAAAAUUUAUAGUGUAACAUCUUCUGCUUUCAAGAUGGCGAAGCCAAAAAUAAACAUUAAAAAGAUCGAGAAUUCCUUGUACAUAUAAUUAUUAACCUUGCAGUCCGAGGUUAUCGAAGCAUAUAAUUUACAGAGUGGAAUUGAUUUUGGGUAAAAUUUGAAAAAAAAACAUCAAAAACUUGUGAUCUUUGAAGGCAUUUCAAAUCAUCUAUUGGCUGGAACAUGAUUUUUGGACUCUUUCUCUACAGAUGGGUGGCCAGAUCAACCAGGGAUUCUGAAGUUGGAAACAAAAGCAAUGUUUCCCGCGGAUGAUCCGGAGCUGAUAGCGGAAUGUUCUAUCGCUAGAGAUCAGUGUAGCCUUGAGUGUAGCAUCAAGCGGCGAUAGCUACAAUGCAACGAAAUUUAUAUUUUGCACACAGAAGGUUUGACUAAAAAUAUAGAAAAUAUGCAAAAUCUUGUUUUGAUCGUUAAACGAAAGAAAACAUCAAGGGGUUGGAGAAAAUUAACACGAUAAAAUAUUUUAUUGGAACUACAAUCUUGAUUUUCAAACCAACCUGGAACGUUUCUUACGUCAACAAUCAUGUUUGUCAAUUUAAUAAUAAUGAUUAUUAGGAUUACAAACAUCCUUCACUUUGACGACAACAAUCUCGUUUGUCGAACCCGCAAACAUGUUAGGUUGAAUUUGGCAAACAUGUUAGCCGGCCCUGAGAUGACAAACAUGUUUGUGGGCUACACCCAACAUUUUGCCAGAUUCACAAUCGGAUUUUUC